CCUACGGGAGGCAGCAGUGGGGAAUAUUGCACAAUGGGGGAAACCCUGAUGCAGCAACGCCGCGUGAGUGAUGACGGUCUUCGGAUUGUAAAACUCUGUCUUCAGGGACGAUAAUGACGGUACCUGAGGAGGAACCGACGGCUAACUACGUCCGACGACCUCGGCUAAU
This 169-nucleotide ribosomal RNA is filed under the name uncultured Bacillota bacterium. Its description in RNAcentral is "uncultured Firmicutes bacterium partial 16S ribosomal RNA". It matches the Rfam family "Bacterial small subunit ribosomal RNA", at positions 338 to 524 of the family's 1533-position model. Lineage: Bacteria; Bacillati; Bacillota. The record is from RNAcentral.